Molecule: ribosomal RNA, 497 nt
Filed under: uncultured bacterium
Lineage: Bacteria
Description: partial 16S ribosomal RNA
Rfam family: Bacterial small subunit ribosomal RNA
Source: RNAcentral
GAUGAACGCUGGCGGCGUGCCUAAUACAUGCAAGUCGAGCGAACGGACGAGAAGCUUGCUUCUCUGAUGUUAGCGGCGGACGGGUGAGUAACACGUGGAUAACCUACCUAUAAGACUGGGAUAACUUCGGGAAACCGGAGCUAAUACCGGAUGAUAUUUUGAACCGCAUGGUUCAAAAGUGAAAGACGGUCUUGCUGUCACUUAUAGAUGGAUCCGCGCUGCAUUAGCUAGUUGGUAAGGUAACGGCUUACCAAGGCAACGAUGCAUAGCCGACCUGAGAGGAUGAUCGGCCACACUGGAACUGAGACACGGUCCAGACUCCUACGGGAGGCAGCAGUAGGGAAUAUUCCGCAAUGGGCGAAAGCCUGACGGAGCAACGCCGCGUGAGUGAUGAAGGUCUUCGGAUCGUAAAACUCUGUUAUUAGGGAAGAACAGAUGUGUAAGUAACUGUGCACAUCUUGACGGUACCUAAUCAGAAAGCAACGGCUAACUACGUG